This 465-nucleotide ribosomal RNA is filed under the name uncultured bacterium. RNAcentral describes it as "partial 16S ribosomal RNA". It matches the Rfam family "Bacterial small subunit ribosomal RNA", at positions 28 to 507 of the family's 1533-position model. The record is from RNAcentral.
GACGAACGCUGGCGGCGUGCUUAACACAUGCAAGUCGAACGGAAAGGCCCUGCUUGCAGGGUACUCGAGUGGCGAACGGGUGAGUAACACGUGGGUGAUCUGCCCUGCACUUCGGGAUAAGCCUGGGAAACUGGGUCUAAUACCGGAUAGGAGCCAUUUUUAGUGUGAUGGUUGGAAAGUUUUUUCGGUGUAGGAUGAGCUCGCGGCCUAUCAGCUUGUUGGUGGGGUAAUGGCCUACCAAGGCGGCGACGGGUAGCCGGCCUGAGAGGGUGGACGGCCACAUUGGGACUGAGAUGCGGCCCAGACUCCUACGGGAGGCAGCAGUGGGGAAUAUUGCACAAUGGGCGCAAGCCUGAUGCAGCGACGCCGCGUGGGGGAUGACGGCCUUCGGGUUGUAAACUCCUUUCGCUAGGGACGAAGCUUUUUGUGACGGUACCUAGAGAAGAAGCACCGGCUAACUACGUG